AUAAUAUAUUACUAAUGCAACUUACAAGAUCAUCAAAUUAUUUUGUAAAUUCUCUCCUAUGUUGAUUAUCAGUAUUCGUAUUAUUCUCUCUAAAUAGUACACUCUUAUGUUCACUACAACAAAUUAUGAUUUUUAAUUUUACAUCGACAUAGAAAAAUUACUUAGAACAUUAAACAGUAUGCUAAGAUACUUAUUCAAUAAAAUCUUUAAUUUUUUUACAAUUAUUUAGAACAUAAAAGUAUGCCUUAGAUAGCUCAUUCACAUCUAUAAAUUCAUAUCUCCUUGCACCAAG
RNAcentral lists this long non-coding RNA (292 nucleotides) under Elaeis guineensis (African oil palm). RNAcentral's name for it is "long non-coding RNA (EGUI_LNC054647)". Lineage: Eukaryota; Viridiplantae; Streptophyta; Magnoliopsida; Arecales; Arecaceae. The record is from RNAcentral.